UUGGAGGGCAAGUCUGGUGCCAGCAGCCGCGGUAAUUCCAGCUCCAAUAGCGUAUAUUAAAGUUGUUGCAGUUAAAAAGCUCGUAGUUGAAUUUCGGGGUUAGUAGGUUGGUCAUGCCUCUGGUAUGUACUGGUCUCACUGAUUCCUCCUUCCUGAUGAGCCGUAAUGCCAUUAAUUUGGUGUUGCGGGAAGUUAGACUGGUACUUGUAAAACUUUGAAAUU
This 222-nucleotide ribosomal RNA is filed under the name Glomus sp. RNAcentral describes it as "partial small subunit ribosomal RNA". It matches the Rfam family "Eukaryotic small subunit ribosomal RNA", at positions 548 to 764 of the family's 1831-position model. The record is from RNAcentral. Lineage: Eukaryota; Fungi; Glomeromycota; Glomeromycetes; Glomerales; Glomeraceae.